CCUACGGGAGGCAGCAGUGGGGAAUAUUGGUCAAUGGAGGCAACCCUGACCCAGCAAUGCCGCGUGAAGGAUGAAGGCUUUCGGGUUGUAAACUUCUUUUCCAGGGGAAGAGCAAAGUGCGGUAACCUUAGAACUAACCCCGGCUAACUACGUUCCAGCCGCCGCCGGUAUACCGAGGAGGCAGGCGUUGUCCGGAUUUACUGGGAGGAAAGGGUUUGUAGGCGGGAAGGCAAGUCAGGUGUGAAAUCUGGAGGCUCAACCUCCGCACUGCCUCCGAAACUGUUUUUCUUGAGUACUGGAGAGGCAGAUGGAAUUCCUAGUGUAGCGGUGAAAUGCGCAGAUAUAAGGAGGAACACCAGUGGCGAAGGCGAUCUGCUGGACAGUAACUGACGGUGAGGCGCGAAAGCGUGGGGAGCAAACAGGAUUAGAUACCCGAGUAGUC
Molecule: ribosomal RNA, 442 nt
Filed under: uncultured bacterium
Lineage: Bacteria
Description: partial 16S ribosomal RNA
Rfam family: Bacterial small subunit ribosomal RNA
Source: RNAcentral